AAAAAAGGAUUUUUUUCGUUCACGAAGUACGUCUAAAAUGCCAUGUCAAGAAAUUAUCGUGAGUUGUGCAAUGACGGCACUCUACAAGCCGGACAUGCAACUGAUUCAUCCAUUUGUAAACAAGAAAGGAGAAUGGCUCGUAAAUAUUAGCAAAAAAGCCUAAGAAAACAARCAUUUCAACUGCUAGAGGAAAUGGAAAUUCAAAUAGUGAGGAGUUUGAAAAAGGUUUUCGCAGUUCAGAUCGUUAAGUGGACAUUAAACCUGUAUAAGCACUCAAGAAAACCAAGCUUAUGGACACUUUGAAUGCACGAGGAGCUGAUAUCUUGAUCUUCGAAGCUGGAAUAAAGAGAUGUGUACACAAGAAUAAUUGCAUUUCACAAGCAAAGACCAACAUAGCAAAAUAAGUAACAUUAAUCCAUGUUUUCAUGUACACUGUGAACAAKCUUUUACAAAACUUUAAUUUCAUAAUGAUUCUGGUCUUAGAAACCAAGAAGGGAAUUUAUAUAAACAAAAAUAUCCUGGUUGUAACUUGCUUCAUGCAAACAUCCUUCCAGUUAAAAAGCCCUCACCCCCUGGUUAUAAGUGAAGUUAUAGUAGUUCAUGUUUAUAUUUUUGAUACACUAGGAAGAGAUUGGAAAUAAAUGAAAGGUUUAUCUUUCCUAGUCUAUUUAUCCUCCUAUC
Molecule: long non-coding RNA, 681 nt
Organism: Actinia tenebrosa (Australian red waratah sea anemone)
Lineage: Eukaryota; Metazoa; Cnidaria; Anthozoa; Actiniaria; Actiniidae
Source: RefSeq, a predicted model, not a curated record